CAGGGAGGCGAGAGUGUACGCCCAGUUUAGCUAGAUGGCUUUUGUAAAGUAGACAUGUUUUUUUCAAAGAAAGGUGGUUUCCUGGAUGGCCAAAGUUAGGCCACCUGAAAGAAAAAGACAUCCAAAACCCAGCAAACAAGCAGAAUGUACUCAGGCCUGUAGUCAAGGACUAAAGUUUUGCGUUAAACUGGAGGAGUUGCUGACAGAUUCAAAGAAGUUGGUGACUUAAUGGAAGUAUGCCUUCUCUAACCAAGUCCAUCACCAUCAUCUACUACCAUUCUGAAGGCCUGCUAUGUCAGAACACUUAGUAAACUGUAUUAAACCAGUAGAAUUUUAUAAGUUAUAGAAUCAGUGGAUUCUUUCCUUGAAAUUCUAUUAUUUGGAUUU
Molecule: long non-coding RNA, 387 nt
Filed under: Heterocephalus glaber (naked mole-rat)
Lineage: Eukaryota; Metazoa; Chordata; Mammalia; Rodentia; Bathyergidae
Description: lncRNA (ENSHGLG00000038921.1)
Source: RNAcentral